UUUGAUAUAAAAGAUGUUUGGGAAAAAUAGAGUAUGGGGAUGAUAAAAGAAUUCAAUGAUUAUAUUUUUGUGUUUAACAUGACCUUCGGACUUGUGCCUACGUACCAACAUAAAAAUGAGGGAUCAAAACCUCGCAGUUCGUAGUAAAAAUUUCAAAGUUGGUGAAUUGCUUUUAACAAAAGUUUAAAUGAAAAGGCACCAAGGGGCUAAAAAUUUAAAUGGGGUUGUUAGUUCUUUUUGUCUUUUUGAAAUUUUAAGUCAAUAUGAUUAAG
RNAcentral lists this long non-coding RNA (272 nucleotides) under Lathyrus oleraceus (garden pea). RNAcentral's name for it is "Pisum sativum (pea) long non-coding RNA (PSAT_LNC014447)". Lineage: Eukaryota; Viridiplantae; Streptophyta; Magnoliopsida; Fabales; Fabaceae. The record is from RNAcentral.